AUUCAUCUGACGAGUCCCAAAUAGGAUGAAACGCACGUCAAACUGGAAU
Schistosoma rodhaini is the source of this 49-nucleotide non-coding RNA. The record is from Rfam. Lineage: Eukaryota; Metazoa; Platyhelminthes; Trematoda; Strigeidida; Schistosomatidae.